This 491-nucleotide ribosomal RNA is filed under the name uncultured bacterium. RNAcentral describes it as "partial 16S ribosomal RNA". It matches the Rfam family "Bacterial small subunit ribosomal RNA", at positions 29 to 507 of the family's 1533-position model. The record is from RNAcentral.
GUGAACGCUGGCGGUCGGCCUAACACAUGCACGUCGAACGGCAGCACCGUAAGAGCUUGCUCUUACGGGUGGCGAGUGGCGGACGGGUGAGGAAUACAUCGGAAUCUACUUUUUCGUGGGGGAUAACGUAGGGAAACUUACGCUAAUACCGCAUACGACCUACGGGUGAAAGCAGGGGAUCUUCGGACCUUGCGCGAUUGAAUGAGCCGAUGUCGGAUUAGCUAGUUGGCGGGGUAAAGGCCCACCAAGGCGACGAUCCGUAGCUGGUCUGAGAGGAUGAUCAGCCACACUGGAACUGAGACACGGUCCAGACUCCUACGGGAGGCAGCAGUGGGGAAUAUUGGACAAUGGGCGCAAGCCUGAUCCAGCCAUACCGCGUGGGUGAAGAAGGCCUUCGGGUUGUAAAGCCCUUUUGUUGGGAAAGAAAAGCAGCAGGUUAAUACCCCGCUGUUCUGACGGUACCCAAAGAAUAAGCACCGGCUAACUUCGUG